RNAcentral lists this antisense RNA (66 nucleotides) under Triticum aestivum (bread wheat). RNAcentral's name for it is "lncRNA IsrR". It matches the Rfam family "Antisense RNA which regulates isiA expression", at positions 122 to 187 of the family's 187-position model. The record is from Rfam by way of RNAcentral. RNAcentral also lists the same sequence under 2 other names. Lineage: Eukaryota; Viridiplantae; Streptophyta; Magnoliopsida; Poales; Poaceae.
AGCACCUAGACCUAACAAAAUUAAGUGAAUACCCAAAAUUGUAGUCAUUUUAUUUCUAUCUUUCCA